AUGAAAUCAUUCAACCAACGAGAAAGUUAUGCACUAAGAAAUAGUGCCAUGUCCAGCAUACUGCGUGUAAGACAUAAAACACAAAUGGAACAGACAUGGUCAAUUGAGAUCCGAAACAGUACAGGAGCACUCAAUAUCUUUAGAAUUACAAGACAUGCUAAUCUGCAACGAGUAUCAAAUUCUCUCUUCAACAUCCGUGAAUAUCCGGUGAUUCUUAAUCCUACCAGGCUACAUAUUCUACCAAAACCAUGGAAUCCCAUCUCAAAUCCCAGUUUCCUUCAUAUAUGUCACUUGAACAGCAGCAUGUAUGAUAUUGCAAGAAAACCUUGUCCGGGAGAGUCUCUAGAAGCAGACAGGAAACUUAUCUUGGAAGUUGCUACAUCAGUCGAUCUUCACAGAAGCAUAGAUCUUCCUCACAAACCAGAAGCAAGCAUAGAAGCCAAUGGUGCCAGUCAGGACAAAGAAGGCAUAAGAAAUGAUCAGCAUGUAACCAAAGUAGAGAAUGCCUGA
Molecule: ribosomal RNA, 510 nt
Filed under: Triticum aestivum (bread wheat)
Lineage: Eukaryota; Viridiplantae; Streptophyta; Magnoliopsida; Poales; Poaceae
Description: partial small subunit ribosomal RNA
Source: RNAcentral